This 36-nucleotide ribosomal RNA is filed under the name Petractis luetkemuelleri. Its description in RNAcentral is "partial 28S ribosomal RNA". The record is from RNAcentral. Lineage: Eukaryota; Fungi; Ascomycota; Lecanoromycetes; Ostropales; Gyalectaceae.
GACUUCGGAUCAGGUAGGGUUACCCGCUGAACUUAA